GACGAACGCUGGCGGCGUGCUUAACACAUGCAAGUCGAACGGAAAGGCCCUGCUUUUGUGGGGUGCUCGAGUGGCGAACGGGUGAGUAACACGUGUGUAACCUGCCCUUGACUUUGGGAUAACUUCAGGAAACUGGGGCUAAUACCGGAUAGGAGCUCCUGCUGCAUGGUGGGGGUUGGAAAGUCUCGGCGGUUGGGGAUGGAUUCGCGGCUUACCAGCUUGUUGGUGGGGUAGUGGCUUACCAAGGCUUUGACGGGUAGCCGGCCUGGGAGGGUGACCGGCCACAUUGGGACAGAGAUACGGCCCAGACUCCUACGGGAGGCAGCAGUGGGGAAUCUUGCACAAUGGGCGGAAGCCUGAUGCAGCAACGCCGCGUGCGGGAUGACGGCCUUCGGGUUGUAAACCGCUUUCGCCUGUGACGAAGCGUGAGUGACGGUAAUGGGUAAAGAAGCACCGGCUAACUACGUG
Molecule: ribosomal RNA, 468 nt
Filed under: uncultured bacterium
Lineage: Bacteria
Description: partial 16S ribosomal RNA
Rfam family: Bacterial small subunit ribosomal RNA
Source: RNAcentral